GGGGAAUAUUGCACAAUGGAGGAAACUCUGAUGCAGCGACGCCGCGUGAGUGAAGAAGUAUUUCGGUAUGUAAAGCUCUAUCAGCAGGGAAGAUAAUGACGGUACCUGACUAAGAAGCUCCGGCUAAAUACGUGCCAGCAGCCGCGGUAAUACGUAUGGAGCAAGCGUUAUCCGGAUUUACUGGGUGUAAAGGGAGUGUAGGUGGCACAGCAAGUCAGAAGUGAAAGCCCGGGGCUCAACCCUGGGACUGCUUUUGAAACUGCUGGGCUGGAGUGCAGGAGAGGUAAGUGGAAUUCCUAGUGUAGCGGUGAAAUGCGUAGAUAUUAGGAGGAACACCAGCGGCGAAGGCGGCUUACUGGACUGUAACUGACACUGAGGCUCGAAAGCGUGGGGAGCAAAC
This 400-nucleotide ribosomal RNA is filed under the name uncultured bacterium. RNAcentral describes it as "bacterial SSU rRNA". It matches the Rfam family "Bacterial small subunit ribosomal RNA", at positions 356 to 773 of the family's 1533-position model. The record is from RNAcentral.